Molecule: long non-coding RNA, 313 nt
Organism: Nymphaea colorata (pocket water lily)
Lineage: Eukaryota; Viridiplantae; Streptophyta; Magnoliopsida; Nymphaeales; Nymphaeaceae
Exons: 3
Source: RefSeq, a predicted model, not a curated record
GAGAGAGGGACGUCCUCAUCUUUGCCCUCUUUCUAGUUGAAGAUUGAAGUGGUUGGCUGCUAGAAAGGGACGAGAAGCAAAAGGAGAAGUCAUUUCGGAAUAAAAAAAAAGGUUACAAACUGCAAAGCAAUGUUCAGGAAACCCUUCUGCUGGGCUCCACCAUGCGCCUUCUUGGAGCCCUUUCGAUGCUGGGUUUUCAGGCUUCACUACAAGCUGAGCUUUUUCCAUGCCGACAUUGAGGUGAUUUUGGUGCCCCACAACAAUGAGCAAGGAAAAUCAUGGAAGAUCUAACUGUUUUGGUGUGCAAAUUUUU